CACACAAACACACACUCUCUCUCUCUCUCUCUCUCUCUCUCUCUCUCACACACACACACUCUCUCUCUCUCACACACACACACACACACACACACACACUCACUCUCUCUCUCUCUCUCACACACACACACAAACACUCUCUCUCACACACUCUCUCUCUCUCACACACACACACACACACACACACACACACAAUCUCUCUCUCUCUCCAGCACGACAUACAGCUGCUGGUUUCCUGUUAAUGACAGGAAUUCGCACUCAUAGAACAAGAAACAUCUGGCGGCGACUCUCUGAUGGAUUAAUCGAGUCCUAAAGAAUCGAUUCUUCAAGUAUUUCUUUCUUUCUUUCGCCUUGAAGAGACUCAGACAUCGUGUGAUGGAGCUGCAGACCCGCAGCUCAAACCUGCAGGAUGGGAGGGACCACGCCCUGUUUGGGUGGAGGAAUGAGGGAAGUUUUCCUCUGUGACCUCAGGUUUUGUCUGGACUCUGCUGCAGUGGCCCAAAGCUCUCUCCUACCCCUGUUGGUGGUGGUGAGCGAACAGCAUGUGGGCGAUGAGUCUCAGCUCAGAGAAACCAAAAGAAAAAGAAAUGUAAAAAUACCUUUCCUAUGAUGAUGAAGACUCUGCUGUAGCUCACAGAACACCCAGUGUGUUCUUCUGCUGUUGUUGAGAUGCUUUUCUGCUCACCACGGUUGUAAAGAGUGAUUAUAUGAGUUACUAUAUCCUUCCUGGCAGCUCAAACUGCUCAAUCUGGCCAUUUUCUGAUCUCUGACCCUCUCUUAUCAACAAGGCAUUUGUUUCCACCCACAGAACUGUCACUCACUCACUCAGUGUUUUCUGCACCAUUCUGUGUAAACUCUAGAGACUGUUGAUUGUGUGUGAAAACCCCAGGAGGAGAUCAGCAGCUUCUGAAAUACUAAGAGCAAAAAUACUCAUCUGGCUCAAAGCAACACCCAUACCACAGUGAAAGAAAGUCACUCUGAGAUCACAAUCCCAUUCUGAAGUUUGAACAUUGUGAACAUUAACUGAAGCUCUUGAUUUGUAUUUGUGGGAUUUGGUGCCCCGUGAUUGGCUGAUUACAGAACUGCAUCAAAUAAAAUAGGAGGAUGUAUAGGUGUUCCUAAUAAAGUGGCCAGUGAGUGUGCAUGCAUGCAGUUGCUCCUGGUUUGUGGGUUUUACCAUCAUAAACUAUCCGGGGUAAAUAAAAUAUUAGUGCAGCCUGUGUGUACAGCUCAGGGUGGGAGGAGUCAGCUGAUGACAUCACAGUAAACCAGCUCUAGGAUCAUGCUCUAAAUGAAGCUCUCAUGUUUGGUUUUUUGUUUUGUUUUAUUUUCAUAUAUAUUUUACUGUGAAAAGCCUCUCGGGUGCAGGACGUGUCAGUAUUUACACCGUCAACACAUACACAGGUAUGUACAGAAUCUUCAAACCUGGACAUGUUUUAUUUCAGUCAAACAAAACGGACUGCGGAAAAAAUUCCUAUAAUUGGUUUGG
This is a long non-coding RNA of Neoarius graeffei (lesser salmon catfish), 1489 nucleotides long. RefSeq lists it as uncharacterized. NCBI's taxonomy places the organism in Eukaryota, Metazoa, Chordata, Actinopteri, Siluriformes, Ariidae. The transcript is spliced from 3 exons. The record is from RefSeq and is a predicted model, not a curated record.